UACGGAGGGUGCAAGCGUUGCUCGGAAUUAUUGGGCGUAAAGGGCAGGUAGGUGGUCUCAUGUGUCUGGGGUGAAAGCCUUGGGCUUAACUCAAGAAGUGCCCCAGAAACGGUGAGACUAGAGUCCUAGAGAGGGUCGUGGAAUUCCCGGUGUAGCGGUGAAAUGCGUAGAGAUCGGGAGGAACACCAGAGGCGAAGGCGGCGACCUGGAUAGGUACUGACACUCAACUACGAAAGCGUGGGGAGCAAACAGG
RNAcentral lists this ribosomal RNA (253 nucleotides) under uncultured bacterium. RNAcentral describes it as "partial 16S ribosomal RNA". It matches the Rfam family "Bacterial small subunit ribosomal RNA", at positions 524 to 776 of the family's 1533-position model. The record is from RNAcentral.